This 484-nucleotide ribosomal RNA is filed under the name uncultured bacterium. Its description in RNAcentral is "partial 16S ribosomal RNA". It matches the Rfam family "Bacterial small subunit ribosomal RNA", at positions 30 to 507 of the family's 1533-position model. The record is from RNAcentral.
AUUGAACGCUGGCGGCAGGCCUAACACAUGCAAGUCGAGGGGAAGAAGGGAGCUUGCUCCUGGGUUCAGCGGCGGACGGGAGAGUAAUGCCUAGGAAUCCGCCAGGUAGUGGGGGAUAACGUCUGGAAACGGGCGCUCAUACCGCAUACGCCCUGAGGGAGAAAGUGGGGGAUCUUUGGACCUUACGCCAUCAGAUGAGCCUAGGGCGGAUUAGCUAGUUGGUGGGGUAAAGGCCUACCAAGGCGACGAUACGUAACUGGCCUGAGAGGAUGAUCAGGCACGUUGGAACUGCACCGCGGCCCAGGCCCCUCCGGUAGGCAGCGGAGCGGAAUAUUAGACAGUGGGCGGGAGCCUACUCCAGCCCUGCCACGUGUGUUGAAGAAUGCUUCGGAUCUGAAUGCUCUUUUUCUUGGGUGGAAGGGCAGUACGUUGUAAUCUUGCUGUUUUGACGGUACCAUCAGAAUAAGCACCGGCUAACUUCGUG